GACGAACGCUGGCGGCGUGCUUAUCACAUGCAAGUCGAACGAGGUCCACUGCGUAGCAAUACAAGGGAAGACCUAGUGGCGAACGGGUGCGUAACACGUGAGGAACUUGUCCCGGUCUCUGGGAUAACAGUUGGAAACGACUGCUAAUACCGGAUGACGUCGGAAUCUCGCAUGGGAUACUGACGAAAGGGUUACUGGAUCGGGAGAGCCUCGCGGCCUAUCAGCUUGUUGGUGAGGUAACGGCUCACCAAGGCAUCGACGGGUAGCUGGUCUGAGAGGAUGAUCAGCCACACUGGGACUGAGACACGGCCCAGACUCCUACGGGAGGCAGCAGUGGGGAAUCUUGCGCAAUGGGCGAAAGCCUGACGCAGCAACGCCGCGUGCGGGAAGAAGGCCCUCGGGUUGUAAACCGCUUUCAGUAGGAACGAAAUGACGGUACCUGCAGAAGAAGGUGCGGCCAACUACGUGCCAGCAGCCGCGGUAA
Molecule: ribosomal RNA, 484 nt
Filed under: uncultured bacterium
Lineage: Bacteria
Description: bacterial SSU rRNA
Rfam family: Bacterial small subunit ribosomal RNA
Source: RNAcentral